GACGAACGCUGGCGGCGUGCUUAACACAUGCAAGUCGAACGGAAAGGCCUGCUUUCCCUUGUGGAUUGCGGGUACUCGAGUGGCGAACGGGUGAGUAACACGUGAGUGAUCUGCCCCCAACUUGGGUAUAAGCCUGGGAAACUGGGUCUAAUUCCCGAUAGGACUGCAGGGUGGUGCCUGUGGUGGAAAACGAUUUUCUAGUGGUUGGGGAUGAGCUCGCGGCCUAUCAGCUUGUUGGUGGGGUAAUGGCCUACCAAGGCGGCGACGGGUAGCCGGCCUGGGGGGGUGGACGGCCACAUUGGGACUGAGUUACGGCCCAGACUCCUACGGGAGGCAGCAGUGGGGAAUAUUGCACAAUGGGCGGACGCCUGAUGCAGCGACGCCGCGUGGGGGAUGACGGCCUUCGGGUUGUAAACUCCUUUCGACCGCGAGGAAGCCACCUGGUUGGAAGGGUGGUGACGGUAGUGGUAGAAGAAGCACCGGCUAACUACGUG
This 494-nucleotide ribosomal RNA is filed under the name uncultured bacterium. Its description in RNAcentral is "partial 16S ribosomal RNA". It matches the Rfam family "Bacterial small subunit ribosomal RNA", at positions 28 to 507 of the family's 1533-position model. The record is from RNAcentral.